AUUGGGAGCGUGUAUCUGUCCGUCUGUCUGUCUGUCUGCCUGUUUACGUGAGAGUGCGUGUGCGUGUGAAGUGUAAGUCUCUGUUACGGUUGCGGACCGACACCCCGCCCUCAUGGGUAAAACCCUCCGUUUGUCAAUGGCCAUGCAAAUGACCAUUGUUUUUCCAUGCAUGUGAUUUGUUUACAAUUAUGUUAGUUUUGAUGUGCCUGUCCCCGGACGUGAUUGGUUACUGCAUCGGAAAGCCGAGGAUCCAGGAAGACAAAAUACGGGCGGCACCUUGUCUCGGAUUUGCAGCUUGCCAUUUAGGUCUUCAAAAGCUUAGUUUGUUACUUGAUUGAGGCUCUUGUUAGCUACCAGGGAACUGGGCCAGGGUAAGGUUGUUGAAGGUUAUCGAAAACCGACACGCAGUUACACCUUUGUUAAGAAACACUAGGCGCACGUGUAUUUUGGGAGCUUCUCUUUGGUUAGAUUCAUUUCUUUGAUUUGGACAGCACCCAAUGGUCCUUUUCCUUUUGUAGUUUUGCCUCCUCUGUUAGUGUUUAAUUGAUUACACCAAGCUCCGGGUUAAAUAAACAACUUUAAGUUAACCAACGAAAAAAAAGUUAGUUUCGGCAAAACCGGUGGUAAUUUUUUAUUUUGAGGCGGCAGGGGGUGUUUUCGCAGCUAAAUAUACCUAAUAAAGUAACUUGUAAUCUAACUUAGUUACUUUUAAAAUCAAGUAAUCAGUAAAGUAACUAAGUUACUAUUUUAAGGAGUAACUAGUAAUCAGUAAUCAGAUUACUUUUUCAAGGUAACUGUGGCAACACUGGUUGCCAGUGAUGCCAGAUCGGGCGGGAAAUCUGGCCGCAUCUGGCGGAGGCGUCACAUAGGGUACAUUCACACAACCUCCAUCUGUCGACGGAUCUCAUUGACUUUGAAUGGGAUGCUCUCAAAAUGCUUUGAGGGUCCGUCCAUUUUGUCGGCUCCGUUGCCUGCGUCAAAAAGUUGAGAAAUGUUAAACUUUUCAGGCAGCGACGGCAGGAUCCGUCGGCCAAUCAGAUCGCGGUUAUGCAAAUAACUCCACGUGACUACUGGAUCCAUUUUGCAAUAGCAAGCAGGAAGUAGCAAGAAAAUCUGGCCGUUAUUCUUUUUAAAGAUCUCCUAUUAUACUACUUUUCUGGUCUUCAUUUCUUAUUAAUGACUCCUAUAGAGCAACCUGACAUGAAUCACAGCACAAAAAAACGAUGUAGAUUUUCGGGAAACUCUUCCUCUCAUCUGGGCACUUUCAGCAUUCUUUGUCAACACUCGGCUUCAUCCUUCUCUGCCACCUCUCCCCCCUCCUGCCAAACCCACUCCGUUGUGAUUGGUUACCUUCAGGAAGAGCAUGUUGCAGCAUUACCAUACAUGGAAAAUCCGGAUUGUUCUAUGUAGAUAAAUCCCGGAAACUUGAACAAGUGAAUCGGACCGGUGUGAGUACCAGAUGUGUUCGGCUGCCAGAUCGGCUCGGGGGUCCUAGAUGUGCAAUAAUGACGCACUUCCUGUAAACGAUGUCAUUAAAUGUGCAUGCGCGGGCAUCAGUAGCAGGUGUGUCAGCGUUUUUCCGCUCUUAAGUCAGUGUGUGUGCCUGUGUGUGUAUCCAAACACGUACACUGCAAUUCACAUACACACAUACAGCUGAAUGUGGUAACACAUUAUAUACAUUCUUAUAGGCCUACCUUGAAAUUUUUACUAUUUUACAGAUGUUUUUUAAAUUAUAGAGCAAAGAUACCCCUGGUGGAAACGAGGAAAAUGUUAAAUUUUUUAUUGUUAUUAGUUGUAUAGGCAAGGAUACAAUUCAUUGAACAUCUGGUAAAUCAUAAAAAAAAUCAAUUUUCAAGAAAUAGGAUGAAUAUCUAAUAUGAACACAUUCAUGAAUUCAUCCUCAAUUCAUCAUGGGAUCUAAACAUGCCGUUUUUUAUGGAUUUACAUUUAGCUGUUCCUCAGUUGUAUCAAUGUAUUGUCUUAUUUAUUCUGUUUUGUAUGAGCAAAUAAAAUCUCAUCAAUCAUAUGACUGUCAAA
Long non-coding RNA from Gadus macrocephalus (Pacific cod), 2037 nucleotides. RefSeq lists it as uncharacterized. The record is from RefSeq and is a predicted model, not a curated record. The transcript is spliced from 3 exons. Lineage: Eukaryota; Metazoa; Chordata; Actinopteri; Gadiformes; Gadidae.